ACGAACGCUGGCGGCCUGCCUAACACCUGCAAGUCGAACGAGACCUUCGGGUCUAGUGGCGCACGGGUGCGUAACGCGUGGGAACCUGCCCUUAGGUUCGGAAUAACUCCCCGAAAGGGGUGCUAAUACCGGAUAAUGUCUUCGGACCAAAGAUUUAUCGCCUUUGGAUGGGCCCGCGUUGGAUUAGCUAGUUGGUAGGGUAAAAGCCUACCAAGGCGACGAUCCAUAGCUGGUCUGAGAGGAUGAUCAGCCACACUGGGACUGAGACACGGCCCAGACUCCUACGGGAAGCAGCAGUGGGGAAUAUUGGACAAUGGGCGAAAGCCUGAUCCAGCAAUGCCGCGUGAGUGAUGAAGGCCUUAGGGUUGUAAAGCUCUUUUACCCGGGAUGAUAAUGACAGUACCGGGAGAAUAAGCUCCGGCUAACUCCGUG
RNAcentral lists this ribosomal RNA (432 nucleotides) under uncultured bacterium. Its description in RNAcentral is "partial 16S ribosomal RNA". It matches the Rfam family "Bacterial small subunit ribosomal RNA", at positions 29 to 507 of the family's 1533-position model. The record is from RNAcentral.